RNAcentral lists this non-coding RNA (125 nucleotides) under Lacticaseibacillus rhamnosus. RNAcentral's name for it is "Lactobacillus rhamnosus PreQ1-II sequence". It matches the Rfam family "PreQ1-II (pre queuosine) riboswitch aptamer". Rfam says of the family: Q is a hyper modified nucleoside present in some anticodons in tRNAs (Try, Asn, Asp and His). The record is from RNAcentral. Lineage: Bacteria; Bacillati; Bacillota; Bacilli; Lactobacillales; Lactobacillaceae.
AAAAGUAAACUGAAAACAUUGUAAGAACUAUUAACUGAAUCGGAACCGCCCCGCGCGCUUCCACGACGAUACUUAUUUCCUUUGAUCGUCGUUAUUACUGGCAAAGCCACAAAGGAGAAACAAUA